Molecule: ribosomal RNA, 232 nt
Filed under: Klebsiella pneumoniae
Lineage: Bacteria; Pseudomonadati; Pseudomonadota; Gammaproteobacteria; Enterobacterales; Enterobacteriaceae
Also listed under: 1 other name
Description: partial 23S ribosomal RNA
Rfam family: Bacterial large subunit ribosomal RNA
Source: RNAcentral
GUGGAUGCCCUGGCAGUCAGAGGCGAUGAAGGACGUGCUAAUCUGCGAAAAGCGUCGGUAAGGUGAUAUGAACCGUUAUAGCCGGCGAUGUCCGAAUGGGGAAACCCAGUGCAAUUCGUUGCACUAUCGUUAACUGAAUACAUAGGUUAACGAGGCGAACCGGGGGAACUGAAACAUCUAAGUACCCCGAGGAAAAGAAAUCAACCGAGAUUCCCCCAGUAGCGGCGAGCGA